This 253-nucleotide ribosomal RNA is filed under the name uncultured bacterium. Its description in RNAcentral is "partial 16S ribosomal RNA". It matches the Rfam family "Bacterial small subunit ribosomal RNA", at positions 524 to 776 of the family's 1533-position model. The record is from RNAcentral.
UACGUAGGGUGCAAGCGUUAAUCGGAAUUACUGGGCGUAAAGCGUGCGCAGGCGGUUUUGUAAGUCUGACGUGAAAUCCCCGGGCUCAACCUGGGAAUUGCGAUGGAGACUGCAAGGCUGGAGUCUGGCAGAGGGGGGUAGAAUUCCACGUGUAGCAGUGAAAUGCGUAGAGAUGUGGAGGAACACCGAUGGCGAAGGCAGCCCCCUGGGUCAAGACUGACGCUCAUGCACGAAAGCGUGGGGAGCAAACAGG